Molecule: long non-coding RNA, 1178 nt
Organism: Platichthys flesus (European flounder)
Lineage: Eukaryota; Metazoa; Chordata; Actinopteri; Pleuronectiformes; Pleuronectidae
Exons: 3
Source: RefSeq, a predicted model, not a curated record
GGCACUGUUGAUGGCCUGGUCGAUGACGUGGGGCUGAAUGAGCUCGCCUGCUCCUCCAUCGUAGGAGAGGUCGGACAGACGUUUAUCACCUGAAGAGCCAGAGAGAGGAGCAAUGUGAAGAACAAAUAGAAACAGACCAACUGGGCUUGAGGCACUGACAGUGGUCAGACAAAGAAAAGAGCACCACCUACAGGAGACCCAAGGAGAAGAACUGACGGCAGAACUGGCACUGAUGAUCCCUGGAAAGUCCAGUGCCAUAAACUGGGAGAACAUGAACCUACAAAAAGCAGCCUGCUACUGUGGGAAUGCGGGGUCACUGCACUAAAAGCAUCCCGAGCGCCAGAACAAGCCGGAGGAUGGAGCGUCUCCGGGGCAGAGAGCGAUCCAGCAGCCUGCAGGAGGGUUUCACAGCAGAGUGACACUCCAUCUCUCCAUGCUCCCCCUGCCCCGCCGACUUCUGGCGCUCUGAUCGAACAAGAGCCUUUCAGACUCAGCCUGCCAGUUCCGUAAUGCACCAUUGCCUAGGUCAAUUUGAUCUGAAAAUCUCAUUUUUUACUCUUCUUCAUCUCUAAAAUAAGAGCGGCACAUCACAAUGCAAAUUCAGCCUCAUUUGAAUAAAGCGGAGGAAACACUUUGUGUUGAGAGCCAGUCUUCCUGAUCAGCGCUUCUGGAAUAAACCAAUAUCCAGCCUCUCUGAGUGUUGUGGCAUUCUGUGAGAAGGUUUUAAUAUGGCUUUUUUUUCAAAGGCCCCCCAUAAAAUAAGAGUCACCAGUGAAGCAGCAAAAAUAUAUAAAAGAGGAAAUUCAUUAAAAAUGCAUUUCAGGAGCUAAGACUCACCACAGAAUAUUUUCUAUUUAAAUAGGAGGCACUUCAUUAUAUCCUUUAUUGUAGUUUCUUUUGCAUUUACAUUAGUCUGGUGUUCCUUUCUUCCAUUUUGAGUUUCAUUAGUUUCUAAAGCUUGACAGUUAAGUGCCUUUUUCAAAAAUGUUCCCCACCACUGGUUUGGUUCCAUUACAAUAGAAUAUCAAUUUUGAAAUUUGAAAAUACUUUUAAUAGCCAGAUAAUUGUCACUUUGUGGAGAUUCCAUAUAAUUGCAGCAGAUAGCCUUUUCCUCCUUUUUUUCGGACCAAGUUGUUCUCUGAUACUUUAUCGCAAGAUAAUUUGACCAGUUGCUUGUC